Molecule: long non-coding RNA, 564 nt
Organism: Ipomoea nil (Japanese morning glory)
Lineage: Eukaryota; Viridiplantae; Streptophyta; Magnoliopsida; Solanales; Convolvulaceae
Exons: 3
Source: RefSeq, a predicted model, not a curated record
ACCUAGAUUUUUUGCUUCUAUUUUUCCCAUCGCCUAAGGCGAUUUCCGGCGGCGUUUUCAGCGUCCUUCUGGUGGUGGUCUUCUCGUGGGCGGUUAUGGCAAGUCUCCGGCGGAAGAACCUUAGACGGCCAGAUUGGGAGUUCUGACUUCUCUAUCCGUCUAUUCCUGGGUUUGAACGGUAGAACGGCCGGAUUUCUCUGGCUUAGACGGAGUUUCUCUUGGCUACUCGUUUGUUGGCUCGGCUGAGACAGCGGUGGAACUUCUGCCGGUUGGAUUUAGUCUCCUUCUCGGUGGUGUUUCCGGUGACUAGUUGUGAUGAUGGUGUCAACUGUCAACGGUGGCUACCCGUUUGUAGGCUCCAGCAACGAUUCGUCAUCUGCUAUCAGUGGGUUAAACCGGAGGUUCUACCUUACUCCGGUGAGUUGAGAAUUGAGCAGUCCCCUGAUGACGAGCAUCAGAAUCGGACGCUAGUCACGCUACUUCCCGUCGUCGACGAGGACGCAACUGAAUCGAAUGCCGCCUCCAGAUUUAUGAUGAGUAAUAUGGAUAAGGAUUAACAUAGAA